AAGCAGGGGAUCGUAAGACCUUGCGCUUUUGGAGCGGCCGAUGCCUGAUUAGCUAGUUGGUGGGGUAAAAGCCUACCAAGGCGACGAUCAGUAGUUGGUCUGAGAGGACGACCAGCCACACUGGGACUGAGACACGGCCCAGACUCCUACGGGAGGCAGCAGUGGGGAAUUUUGGACAAUGGGCGAAAGCCUGAUCCAGCAAUGCCGUGUGAGUGAAGAAGGCCUUCGGGUUGUAAAGCUCUUUCAGUCGAGAAGAAAAGGUUGUGAUGAAUAAUCACAACUCAUGACGGUAUCGACAGAAGAAGCACCGGCUAACUACGUGCCAGCAGCCGCGGUAAUACGUAGGGUGCAAGCGUUAAUCGGAAUUACUGGGCGUAAAGGGUGCGCAGGCGGCUUUGUAAGUCAGAUGUGAAAUCCCCGGGCUUAACCUGGGAAUUGCGUUUGAAACUACAAAGCUAGA
This 460-nucleotide ribosomal RNA is filed under the name uncultured beta proteobacterium. RNAcentral's name for it is "bacterial SSU rRNA". It matches the Rfam family "Bacterial small subunit ribosomal RNA", at positions 202 to 645 of the family's 1533-position model. The record is from RNAcentral. Lineage: Bacteria; Pseudomonadati; Pseudomonadota; Betaproteobacteria.